Molecule: long non-coding RNA, 246 nt
Organism: Brassica napus (rape)
Lineage: Eukaryota; Viridiplantae; Streptophyta; Magnoliopsida; Brassicales; Brassicaceae
Exons: 2
Source: RefSeq, a predicted model, not a curated record
UUCUGACACGCUGGACCCUGCUCUUCUACGUCCUGGACGUCUUGACCGUAAGGUUGAGUUUGGUUUGCCUGAUCUGGAGAGCAGAACACAGAUCUUCAAGAUUCACACAAGAACCAUGAACUGCGAGAGAGACAUCCGUUUUGAGCUCCUUGCUCGCCUCUGCCCAAACUCAACUGGAGCUGAUAUCAGGAGUGUGUGCACUGAAGCUGGAAUGUAUGCAAUCAGAGCUAGGAGAAAGACGGUGAC